Molecule: ribosomal RNA, 647 nt
Filed under: Salmonella enterica
Lineage: Bacteria; Pseudomonadati; Pseudomonadota; Gammaproteobacteria; Enterobacterales; Enterobacteriaceae
Description: partial 23S ribosomal RNA
Rfam family: Bacterial large subunit ribosomal RNA
Source: RNAcentral
GUGGGUAGUUUGACUGGGGCGGUCUCCUCCUAAAGAGUAACGGAGGAGCACGAAGGUUGGCUAAUCCUGGUCGGACAUCAGGAGGUUAGUGCAAUGGCAUAAGCCAGCUUGACUGCGAGCGUGACGGCGCGAGCAGGUGCGAAAGCAGGUCAUAGUGAUCCGGUGGUUCUGAAUGGAAGGGCCAUCGCUCAACGGAUAAAAGGUACUCCGGGGAUAACAGGCUGAUACCGCCCAAGAGUUCAUAUCGACGGCGGUGUUUGGCACCUCGAUGUCGGCUCAUCACAUCCUGGGGCUGAAGUAGGUCCCAAGGGUAUGGCUGUUCGCCAUUUAAAGUGGUACGCGAGCUGGGUUUAGAACGUCGUGAGACAGUUCGGUCCCUAUCUGCCGUGGGCGCUGGAGAACUGAGGGGGGCUGCUCCUAGUACGAGAGGACCGGAGUGGACGCAUCACUGGUGUUCGGGUUGUCAUGCCAAUGGCACUGCCCGGUAGCUAAAUGCGGAAGAGAUAAGUGCUGAAAGCAUCUAAGCACGAAACUUGCCCCGAGAUGAGUUCUCCCUGAGACUUUAGGUCUCCUGAAGGAACGUUGAAGACGACGACGUUGAUAGGCCGGGUGUGUAAGCGCAGCGAUGCGUUGAGCUAACCGGUACU